AUGCUGCUCCUCAGCUCGUUUCUGAGCAGCGCUGAGAGCCUCGCUUGGGCUGAAAGCGCCUGGCUCGGCCGCAGUGUUGCUGCCAAACUGGGCGGUCGCAAACGCUGCGGCUGGCCGGGAAGUUUGCGGGAAGCCUCCGAAGCAAUCCCCCGUCCUGCCCCGCUAACGAUAACCUCGUCAGCCUGGCGCUGGGCCGCCCGGCAGUGCCCCAGCGCGCCCCAGCCGCCGGGCUGCCGAGGGACCCAGGCGUCCUGGGAGCCGCUCAGGGUCGGACGCGGACCGCAGGCUCCUCAACCCCAAAGCUCCUUGGAGAGCAUGGGCGCAGUUUGGUUUCGGGAGCCAAAUGGCCGCUCGCCUCCAGGCACCCGCGUCCCUGGCAGCCGAGACCGGGAGCAAUUCGCUACGUGUUUUAUAAAGGCAGAGAAAAAUCUCCCGGGGCUCAGAGCCCUCUUUACCAUGAAUCAGGCCCUCUUUAUGGCGCCGUCUCCUCCRCGCUUGCGCACGGCAGCCGCUGGGGAUGCUCGGGCCGCCGCGGGCGCCUCGCUCACGUGCCUGAGCCGCGGGGCGCAGAGGCCGGCGCCUGGGAUGCCGUGCGGCAGCGAGGAGCCGACCCCGGACGUCCUGGCGGCGGAAGCGGCUGCAGAGGAGGCGUCGCUGGAGCAACCGCUAGCGCAGGACCCAAACGAACGCCUGGUGGCCCGAAGCAGAGGCCACGGGCUCCCAAACCGCCCUCUGCACCCGGGCAGCAACGUGGCCUCCAAGCCCAUGCUGCAAACAGGAGUGUCCUCAUCUCCGACGGGCUCAUCCUUCCCUGUCCUGGGGAAGGGCAAACCCCUCCCGGGACCGAGCAGCCGAUGGGGCUCCUCCAGCCGCAGGGGUGACCGAGCCAGCGCGGUGCCUGCGGGAGCCCAGGGCCGCGGGAGAGGAGGCGAGGGCCUGCGGUGGCUCCAGGGCAGCGCCAGGGCCCCGUCAAGCCUCCGCGAGACGAGGCGGGGAGGAUCCGUCAGCGGGGCCUGGCAGGGAGCGGGUUUGGCGGCUGCCCGCGGCCCUGGCGCUGCCCUGACGUCAGGGUCUGCUCGCCGUCAGCCUCAGCUCGCCCCGCGCAGGCCACCCGGGCCGAGAAGCGUCUGGAAAUCAUCAGGGCCUGGCACCACCGCGCUGCCAGGAAGGUUUCUCCAGCACCGACACCGGCUAGAGACCGUUCCCGGGCAAGCGGGUGACAUCCCUGGCACGCGUCACGGGAGGGCCCAGGGCAAAGGAGGAGCUAGGGAAACUGAGGCACGAUGCCGGGGGGGGGGGGGCCCUUCACUGCACACUCCCUGCUCUAAUCACUGUGUGUGCCCUCUGACACAGCAGGAGUGGGAAGCUGGUCCCCUGCUCCAGGGAAACCCUUGGGCAAAGGACAGCGCUGAGGGCUGUGGCUGCGCAGGAGGCCACCGACACUGUUGGGGCGCCCGUGGGACCGUCUGCCCUGACGGGGUGGCAGGAGAGCUGCUGCUAGUGCUUCUCCCCGGUGCCCUCUCCCCCACCCUGGGAGCCUUCCCCGGCUCAUUGCACCGCUCACUGCACUGA
Molecule: long non-coding RNA, 1572 nt
Organism: Apteryx haastii (Great spotted kiwi)
Lineage: Eukaryota; Metazoa; Chordata; Aves; Apterygiformes; Apterygidae
Source: Ensembl